Long non-coding RNA from Dicentrarchus labrax (European seabass), 2262 nucleotides. NCBI's taxonomy places the organism in Eukaryota, Metazoa, Chordata, Actinopteri, Moronidae. The record is from Ensembl.
AUUGUGAUAUUCUUUGUUCUCUGUUUUUGCAUUACUUUGCCCUAUUGCUGCUGUGUCAACCUGAAUUUCUCCUAAGGGGGGUAAAUAAAGGAAUAUCUUAUCUUAUCUUAUCUUAUCUUAUCUCUCUUAACUUCUCCACUAGAUGUCACUGAAUCCUACACACAGGUCAGUUAAGUGUUAGCAGAAAGUUAGCCUGCUGAACAAAAGAAAACAAAUGAGAAAUGAUAAACCAUCUACACAGCACCGUCUUGAAGGAUCACACUAAUAUCAGAGGUUAAAGGGUAACGACACUCUCAAAUUUUGUUAGAACCCUUCCUUUACCUGCAUAUUUAAAAAAUGCAGAGGCGUGUGGGAGCCAUGACUGUAGGCCUUGUGGCUAAUUAGGCCAGCAUACCUAUUGCCUUGCCUAUCAUGACACGGUUAGGAAGGGGACCAAGAAUUUGGCUAAACCAAACUUCUAUCUGACAAAUACAAGGAUCGGUAAAUGUUGGCUCUAGUCAUUCUCAUCUCUCUUGUGGUUGGUGGAGGUAUUUCUGCACCUGUGCUGAGCAACAGAGCUGAUGAAGGCACAGCAGAGUUGGAUUUGCUCUUUGACCCUGGCCUCCAGCAUGUUACUGGCCUCCUAACCGAUGAUUAUGGUGAGAGACCCCUUCCUCCUCCUCUGCCACCUGAUACUAGAAAUCCGUAUCAACCUAACCUAGAGGAUGAAUACUACUAACGGAAAGACAAAAGUUCCUGAUGCACAACAAUUAAGCUGAUCUGCCCUGUAUGGAGGAUCAGCUCCAGCAAAAAAAAAACAACAGCAUAUUCAAAUAGAAACAGAAAAAAAACUUUCUUCUGACAUACAAUCUUCUUGUAUGAACGUUGUUUGCUUAUUUUAUUUAUUAAUAUUUUAUUCAGUGCAUGUUUAGUUAUUUUCUUUAUAAAAACUUAUGAAAGAGAAGCUUAUGGUUGCAUACCUGCUUCAAAAAAGGCCUACAAUGAUGGCUAAAGCUACAGGGGGAGAUUUUCUAAAAAAAGGAAAUGUUUUUUCUUUGCAUUUAAAAAAAUCUCCAUUCAUAUGAAUGAAUAAAUAUCCUUGUGCAAAUGGAUCUGCAAAAAUUGUAGAAUGCAUGCCAGGCCUGUAGGCAGCGGUGUUACUUUGUUUAUGACUUUACUUCCUGUGGUUGCCCUCAAUCUAUGUAGAAGUGAUUAAGUAUCUGGUGCAUGUAAUUAAUGCAUGUCUCUGCUGGUCACAGAAAUGGUGCAGUGACUCUACACUUUGCUGGAAGAGUGUUAAUAAACUCAGAAGAGCCUGCAGCACAAACACAACACCCUAACCUAACCACACCUUUAUUUGCCAAACUGUUGAAUUGUUUAGUCUUAACUAAUAAGCUCUUAAAAGGUUACAAAUACUCACACACUUACAAACCAUCUGUAGUUGGUUUAUCCAAAUGAAGUGGAACCAAAUUUGGAUAUUGAUGAUGAUGAGGAUGAGUUCCAUGAUUUGGAACAAGCCUUAGUUAUGACUUUAUGUCCAAACUAGUUAAAUUAUACCCCAAGUAAUCAUGUGCAACUCAUUUUAGUAGCUGAUUUAGUUACAAACUAAUUAGUAGUUACUUUACACCCUAACAACAAUCCACAUAGCUGACACUUUCACAUGGCUGGUGCAACCGUUCAUAUCAUUCAGCUAACUCAGAACUCAGAGCCAUGUUUCAAUGGCAACCAUCAGUGACAUCCGCUGACCAGUGGCACCAAAUCACACUGGUCCUGAGUCGAAACCUUUAAUUCAUUUACUUUAUUUUAUGCAGCCAUCAACCUGCUUAGAUUUUCAUAUACACACAAACAAUCCUCUGUUGUUGUAGUAGUGAGCUACUUCAUUUAUAACAUUUUACUCACCAACCUAAGUGAUGAUAUGUAGGGAUGCCGUAACAUCACUAGAGUUGGAGUCAGGCAGCAACAUGGCCAGUCACAUGAUCCGAUGAGAAUUACAGUCAGGACCUCACAAGUACAGAGAUAUUAAUGUGUUUGUGCAUAUAUAUGUGCAAGUGAAGCCAAAUGUAAUAAUGACAGGACACCAUGAGAUCUGCAUUAAAAUUUUUAAAUAAAGAAUAGUUCACACCUAAAAAAAUUCCAAAAUAAAGAGAAAUUUCACAUACUACAUGUUGAAUCAAUACAAUUUAAUAUUUAUAAUUACAGAUAUUAAAUUAUUUAUUUAUAUAUGGCAUGUCUAUACACCCUUUGUAUAGCUCCCAUUACUUUACACUUCUCCUGUCUGCCUGA